ACUGGACAACAAAUCCCUGUUUGGGAAGCCCCCUCAUGGUCACAAGGGGCAUGCUACAAGGGCUGCCCUGGAAACCAGUCGUGUGAAAGCUGUACUCGAACGAACCUGCGCGACUUAUAAGUGUUCUGAUGCACCAAUCAAAAGGAGUCUCAGCUCCAUGCUGCACAAAAUUAACAGGAAAGCAGCAGGGAACACCUCACCACACCAGGAAUGAAGCCCACGAAUUUCCAACGCCAAUUACCCGCACCUCACCACGUCAUGUCUGUCGCAUACCCACUGAAAAUGGAAUAAAGAAACAGUACCAAUGA
Molecule: long non-coding RNA, 308 nt
Organism: Ornithodoros turicata
Lineage: Eukaryota; Metazoa; Arthropoda; Arachnida; Ixodida; Argasidae
Exons: 2
Source: RefSeq, a predicted model, not a curated record